UCCAGAAAGCAGGACUCAGGGAUCCUCCACCAUGGCCUGGUCCCUUCUCCUGCUCACCCUCCUGGUUCAUUGCACAGGGUCCUGGGCCCAGUCUGUGCUGACUCAGCCGUCCUCAGUGUCUGGGGCCCUGGGCCAGAGGGUCACCAUCUCCUGCACUGGAAGCAGCAGCAACAUCGGGUAUGGCUAUGAUGUGCACUGGUACCAACAGCUCCCAGAGAUGACCCCCAGACUCUUCAUCUAUGGUAACAGCAAUCGACCCUCAGGAGUCCCUGACCAAUUUUCUGGCUCCAAAUCUGGAAUCUCAGCCUCCCUGACCAUCUCAGGGCUCCAGGCUGAAGAUGAAGCUGAUUAUUACUGUCAGUCCUGGGACAGAAAUGCUGAUGGCCUCACAGUGCUCCAGGCCAGGGGGGAAAGGAUAUUCCUGGAAUCUGGGAAUAAUCCCUAA
This is a non-coding RNA of Tupaia belangeri chinensis (Chinese tree shrew), 445 nucleotides long. Lineage: Eukaryota; Metazoa; Chordata; Mammalia; Scandentia; Tupaiidae. The record is from the annotation of a RefSeq genome assembly.